GCAAGGGGGUCAUCCCGACUUACCAACCCGAUGCAAACUGCGAAUACCGGAGAAUGUUAUCACGGGAGACACACGGCGGGUGCUAACGUCCGUCGUGAAGAGGGAAACAACCCAGACCGCCAGCUAAGGUCCCAAAGUCAUGGUUAAGUGGGAAACGAUGUGGGAAGGCCCAGACAGCCAGGAUGUUGGCUUAGAAGCAGCCAUCAUUUAAAGAAAGCGUAAUAGCUCACUGGUCGAGUCGGCCUGCGCGGAAGAUGUAACGGGGCUAAACCAUGCACCGAAGCUGCGGCAGCGACACUAUGUGUUGUUGGGUAGGGGAGCGU
RNAcentral lists this ribosomal RNA (323 nucleotides) under Escherichia coli. RNAcentral describes it as "partial 23S ribosomal RNA". It matches the Rfam family "Bacterial large subunit ribosomal RNA", at positions 918 to 1239 of the family's 2925-position model. Lineage: Bacteria; Pseudomonadati; Pseudomonadota; Gammaproteobacteria; Enterobacterales; Enterobacteriaceae. The record is from RNAcentral. RNAcentral also lists the same sequence under 3 other names.